Molecule: ribosomal RNA, 377 nt
Filed under: uncultured bacterium
Lineage: Bacteria
Description: bacterial SSU rRNA
Rfam family: Bacterial small subunit ribosomal RNA
Source: RNAcentral
UAAUACGUAGGGUGCGAACGUUGUUCGGAAUCACUGGGCAUAAAGAGCGCGUAGGCGGUCUGAUAAGUCCUGUGUGAAAGCCCCCGGCUUAACCGGGGAAUUGCACUGGAUACUGUCGGGCUAGAGUACAGGAGGGGAGAGCGGAAUUCCUGGUGGAGCGGUGAAAUGCGUAGAUAUCAGGAGGAACGCCGGCGGCGAAAGCGGCUCUCUGGUCUGUUACUGACGCUGAGGCGCGAAAGCUAGGGGAGCAAACGGGAUUAGAUACCCCGGUAGUCCUAGCCCUAAACGAUGGGUACUAAGUAGAGGAAACUCCGAUGUUUUCUCUGCCGGAGCUAAUGUAUUAAGUACCCCGCCUGGGGAGUAUGGUCGCAAGGCUA